This 253-nucleotide ribosomal RNA is filed under the name uncultured bacterium. RNAcentral describes it as "partial 16S ribosomal RNA". It matches the Rfam family "Bacterial small subunit ribosomal RNA", at positions 524 to 776 of the family's 1533-position model. The record is from RNAcentral.
UACGUAGGGUGCAAGCGUUAUUCGGAAUUACUGGGCGUAAAGCGUGCGCAGGCGGUUUUGUAAGACAGAGGUGAAAUCCCCGGGCUCAACCUGGGAACUGCCUUUGUGACUGCAAGGCUUGAGUGCGGCAGAGGGGGAUGGAAUUCCGCGUGUAGCAGUGAAAUGCGUAGAUAUGCGGAGGAACACCGAUGGCGAAGGCAAUCCCCUGGGCCUGCACUGACGCUCAUGCACGAAAGCGUGGGGAGCAAACAGG